AGAAUCUAUUUAGCUAGUUUUUUUACUUGCUUUUUUAGGUGAGUAAAAGAUUUUUCAAAUAAAAGUCAUAAAAUUAAAUAAGAUGAUACGAUCAAAAUGGUAUCUGAAGAAAGCCCAUCUUGUCCUGAAAAAAACAAUAUAUAACUUAUGUGGGUUCACUAAAUGGGUGAGGAGAAAAUUACAGCUGAACACAAGCACCACAAAAGUAUUAAAACAGCCUCGGUCC
Molecule: long non-coding RNA, 226 nt
Organism: Spea bombifrons (plains spadefoot toad)
Lineage: Eukaryota; Metazoa; Chordata; Amphibia; Anura; Pelobatidae
Exons: 2
Source: RefSeq, a predicted model, not a curated record